CGCCUGUUUAUCAAAAACAUGUCUUUUAGGUAAUUAUUCAAGGUUUGGCCUGCUCCAUGAUUAUAUUAAAUAGCCGCAGUAUUUUGACUGUGCAAAGGUAGCAUAAUCAUUAGUUUUUUAAUUGAAAGCUGGAAUGAAUGGUCGGAUGAGAAAGCUUCUGUCUCACUUUAAUUUUAUUUGAAUUUUAUUUUUAAGUCAAAAAGCUUAAAUUUUAUAAAAAGACGAGAAGACCCUAUAGAGUUUUAUAGAUUAACAAUUUAACAUUUAAAGGUUUUUAUUUUUGUUAUUUUAUAAUUUAUUUUGUUGGGGUGACAUAGAAUUAAAUUAAACUUCUUUUUAUUUAAACACUGAUUGGUGAAUAGGUGAUCCUGAUUUUUGGAUUAAAAGAAUAAAUUACCUUAGGGAUAACAGCGUAAUUCUUUUGGAGAGUUCUAAUCGAUAAAAGGGAUUGCGACCUCGAUGUUGGAUUAAAAUUAAGUUCUGGUGCAGAAGCUAGAAUUUUGAGUCUGUUCGACUCUUAAAAUUUUACGUGAUCUGAGUUCAGACCGG
RNAcentral lists this ribosomal RNA (549 nucleotides) under Phodaga marmorata. RNAcentral describes it as "partial 16S ribosomal RNA". It matches the Rfam family "Bacterial large subunit ribosomal RNA", at positions 1797 to 2619 of the family's 2925-position model. The record is from RNAcentral. Lineage: Eukaryota; Metazoa; Arthropoda; Insecta; Coleoptera; Meloidae.